Molecule: ribosomal RNA, 444 nt
Filed under: uncultured bacterium
Lineage: Bacteria
Description: bacterial SSU rRNA
Rfam family: Bacterial small subunit ribosomal RNA
Source: RNAcentral
CCAGACUCCUACGGGAGGCAGCAGUGGGGAAUAUUGCACAAUGGGGGAAACCCUGAUGCAGCGACGCCGCGUGAGCGAUGAAGUAUUUCGGUAUGUAAAGCUCUAUCAGCAGGGAAGAAAAUGACGGUACCUGAAGAAGAAGCCCCGGCUAACUACGUGCCAGCAGCCGCGGUAAUACGUAGGGGGCAAGCGUUAUCCGGAUUUACUGGGUGUAAAGGGGGCGCAGACGGCGAGGCAAGCCAGGAGUGAAAGGCCGGGGCCCAACCCCGGGACUGCUCUUGGAACUGCGUGGCUGGAGUGCAGGAGGGGCAGGCGGAAUUCCUGGUGUAGCGGUGAAAUGCGUAGAUAUCAGGAGGAACACCGGCGGCGAAGGCGGCCUGCUGGACCGUGACUGACGUUGAGGCUCGAGAGCGUGGGGAGCAAACAGGAUUAGAUACCCCGGUA